This 177-nucleotide small RNA is filed under the name Chinchilla lanigera (long-tailed chinchilla). Its description in RNAcentral is "TUC338 (ENSCLAG00000019367.1)". Lineage: Eukaryota; Metazoa; Chordata; Mammalia; Rodentia; Chinchillidae. The record is from RNAcentral.
UUGAAGGUCAGGAGAUUGAAGUCCUCCAUUUUUUUUUCACAGAACAGGUAGCACACGGACAACAGAAAUUCAGCUUUUCUCUGCCAAUGUGCUUUGAGCCUGACCUGGGGGUUAGGGGCUGUCACUGGGACGAGAGGGUAGCUCAUUCAUUCAGUCCUACGUCAUUCUUCUGAAACC